Molecule: ribosomal RNA, 1523 nt
Filed under: metagenome
Description: bacterial SSU rRNA
Rfam family: Bacterial small subunit ribosomal RNA
Source: RNAcentral
AGAGUUUGAUCAUGGCUCAGAUUGAACGCUGGCGGCAGGCCUAACACAUGCAAGUCGAACGGUAACAGGAAGCAGCUUGCUGCUUCGCUGACGAGUGGCGGACGGGUGAGUAAUGUCUGGGAAGCUGCCUGAUGGAGGGGGAUAACUACUGGAAACGGUAGCUAAUACCGCAUAAUGUCGCAAGACCAAAGAGGGGGACCUUCGGGCCUCUUGCCAUCGGAUGUGCCCAGAUGGGAUUAGCUUGUUGGUGGGGUAACGGCUCACCAAGGCGACGAUCCCUAGCUGGUCUGAGAGGAUGACCAGCCACACUGGAACUGAGACACGGUCCAGACUCCUACGGGAGGCAGCAGUGGGGAAUAUUGCACAAUGGGCGCAAGCCUGAUGCAGCCAUGCCGCGUGUAUGAAGAAGGCCUUCGGGUUGUAAAGUACUUUCAGCGGGGAGGAAGGGAGUAAAGUUAAUACCUUUGCUCAUUGACGUUACCCGCAGAAGAAGCACCGGCUAACUCCGUGCCAGCAGCCGCGGUAAUACGGAGGGUGCAAGCGUUAAUCGGAAUUACUGGGCGUAAAGCGCACGCAGGCGGUUUGUUAAGUCAGAUGUGAAAUCCCCGGGCUCAACCUGGGAACUGCAUCUGAUACUGGCAAGCUUGAGUCUCGUAGAGGGGGGUAGAAUUCCAGGUGUAGCGGUGAAAUGCGUAGAGAUCUGGAGGAAUACCGGUGGCGAAGGCGGCCCCCUGGACGAAGACUGACGCUCAGGUGCGAAAGCGUGGGGAGCAAACAGGAUUAGAUACCCUGGUAGUCCACGCCGUAAACGAUGUCGACUUGGAGGUUGUGCCCUUGAGGCGUGGCUUCCGGAGCUAACGCGUUAAGUCGACCGCCUGGGGAGUACGGCCGCAAGGUUAAAACUCAAAUGAAUUGACGGGGGCCCGCACAAGCGGUGGAGCAUGUGGUUUAAUUCGAUGCAACGCGAAGAACCUUACCUGGUCUUGACAUCCACGGAAGUUUUCAGAGAUGAGAAUGUGCCUUCGGGAACCGUGAGACAGGUGCUGCAUGGCUGUCGUCAGCUCGUGUUGUGAAAUGUUGGGUUAAGUCCCGCAACGAGCGCAACCCUUAUCCUUUGUUGCCAGCGGUCCGGCCGGGAACUCAAAGGAGACUGCCAGUGAUAAACUGGAGGAAGGUGGGGAUGACGUCAAGUCAUCAUGGCCCUUACGACCAGGGCUACACACGUGCUACAAUGGCGCAUACAAAGAGAAGCGACCUCGCGAGAGCAAGCGGACCUCAUAAAGUGCGUCGUAGUCCGGAUUGGAGUCUGCAACUCGACUCCAUGAAGUCGGAAUCGCUAGUAAUCGUGGAUCAGAAUGCCACGGUGAAUACGUUCCCGGGCCUUGUACACACCGCCCGUCACACCAUGGGAGUGGGUUGCAAAAGAAGUAGGUAGCUUAACCUUCGGGAGGGCGCUUACCACUUUGUGAUUCAUGACUGGGGUGAAGUCGUAACAAGGUAACCGUAGGGGGAACCUGCGGUUG